Molecule: unclassified non-coding RNA, 417 nt
Filed under: Hevea brasiliensis (rubber tree)
Lineage: Eukaryota; Viridiplantae; Streptophyta; Magnoliopsida; Malpighiales; Euphorbiaceae
Source: RNAcentral
CAUCCAUUUUAACAUUUUUUCACUGUUAUCAUUCCCACUGAUUCUUUGAACAUGGAAAGUGCAAUUUCUUGGAGCAGAGAAGAAGAGAAAGCUUUUGAGAAUGCAAUUGCUACCCAUUGGACUAAGGAGGAAGAGGACUCCAAAGAGCUGUGGGAAAAGAUUGCUUCUUUGGUGCCAAGUAAAAGUAUUCAAGAAUUGAAACUACACUACCAAUUACUAGUGGAGGAUGUUAGUGCAAUAGAGGCAGGAAAUAUUCCACUUCCUAACUAUGUAGGAGAGGAAGCUACUUCUUCAGCUAAGGAUUCUCAUGGAAGUUCUGGGGCUGGUGGCUACAGAUAAGAGAUUGAAUUGUGGUUAUGGAAGUGGGUUUUUUGGGUUAGGACAUAACUCGUCCGGACAUGGAGGAAAAGGAGGAUA